RNAcentral lists this ribosomal RNA (501 nucleotides) under uncultured bacterium. RNAcentral's name for it is "partial 16S ribosomal RNA". It matches the Rfam family "Bacterial small subunit ribosomal RNA", at positions 30 to 523 of the family's 1533-position model. The record is from RNAcentral.
AUUGAACGCUGGCGGCAGGCUUAACACAUGCAAGUCGAGCGGGGGAAGGUAGCUUGCUACCGGACCUAGCGGCGGACGGGUGAGUAAUGCUUAGGAAUCUGCCUAUUAGUGGGGGACAACAUCUCGAAAGGGAUGCUAAUACCGCAUACGUCCUACGGGAGAAAGCGGGGGAUCUUCGGACCUUGCGCUAAUAGAUGAGCCUAAGUCGGAUUAGCUAGUUGGUGGGGUGAAGGCCUACCAAGGCGACGAUCUGUAGCGGGUCUGAGAGGAUGAUCCGACACACUGGGACUGAGACACGGCCCAGACUCCUACGGGAGGCAGCAGUGGGGAAUAUUGGACAAUGGGGGGAACCCUGAUCCAGCCAUGCCGCAUGUGUGAAGAAGGCCUUAUGGUUGUAAAGCACUUUAAGCGAGGAGGAGGCUACUCUAGUUAAUACCUAGGGAUAGUGGACGUUACUCGCAGAAUAAGCACCGGCUAACUCUGUGCCAGCCGCCGCCGUAA